GAAGGAGGAGGCGCGGGGGCGCGGGGGCGAGAGGCUGGAGACCCGGCUUCAGGGAGUGCGUGUCGGGAGGCGAAGGCUGGAGAAGAGGAUCGGCGAGGUCCACAAGGACCCCAGCGUGCGCUCUUUAUCUUCCCCUAUUCUGCUUCUUAAUUCCUUCCCGCCUUGUCUUCCCUCUCUUUUCAGCCCGGGCCUGGAGCCCCAGACGCUGCGUCACAGCUUCUCCUGCUGGCUCGAGAGGCGAAGCAACUGCAAAACUUUCUGCAGAACUUCACCGCGUGGCGAAACCUGGGCGGCUCAUGUGUGUGACCCUUGUGUCAGUGUCCCUGGCACAAAGAAUGUAACACUUGAGCUGAUAGGGGCCUCUACAUCCAGAGACCUGGGACAAAAGCAGACCACUGGAUGUCCCAGAAGACCUACAUCAUUCCCACCAGCUGGGCUGCUGGCCGGUAGCAAAGAACAAAACGGAAAUUUCAUGAAGACAAUCCAGUUACUUAGCAUUAUGCAACAGGUCAGAUGGCAGCGUAGAGCACUGGACCGAGAAUCUGGAUUUUGGAGGGCAGCCGAAACCUACCUCUGAUUUCCCAAACAGUCUCGAAAGCGAUGCUUGGGAACUCCGGCUGAGGAGAGCAGGGUUGAGACUUCUGGAUUCCAACAGCACAAAGCAGACUCACCUUUUCCCAUCACAAGUGAUCAAAACACUGUAAAACUGUAAUGUAAGUUUUAUUGUUUCCUGCACUAGCCACUGCGGGCUUUUUGGGAAAUAACAGACGUGACUUUUCAUGGCUCCUGCUGUAGGCAAUCUUUCAGUGUCUGCAAUAAAGAAUCGGCUCCAGGGAGGCUCCUCCUUGGCCCUUCUGUGCUCUGCAAACUGAGAUUCUUGGCUUAAUACAGCCCACUGAUUGCAGGUUCCCCCAAAAGAGCACCUGCAGGCCCCUGGAAAGGUUCCACUAGCCACAGCCCUGACUGUCAGCCAAGUGAACAAAGCCCCUUACCCUAAGGCUAACUU
Molecule: long non-coding RNA, 1006 nt
Filed under: Rattus norvegicus (Norway rat)
Lineage: Eukaryota; Metazoa; Chordata; Mammalia; Rodentia; Muridae
Description: long non-coding RNA NONRATT006147
Source: RNAcentral